Molecule: small RNA, 913 nt
Filed under: Pan troglodytes (chimpanzee)
Lineage: Eukaryota; Metazoa; Chordata; Mammalia; Primates; Hominidae
Description: retained intron
Source: RNAcentral
GAUCACGCGCCUGACGGCUUUUCCGGGGCCCGGGAGCCAACCGAGGGCGUUCCUGUCGGGGCUGCAGCGGCGGGAGGGAGCCCAGUGGAGGCGCCCUCCCGAAGCGCCACUGCCCAUGCUGACCACCCAGCCCUCCGGCUGCUGAUGUCAUGAGUAACACCACUGUGCCCAAUGCCCCCCAGGCCAACAGCGACUCCAUGGUGGGCUAUGUGUUGGGGCCCUUCUUCCUCAUCACCCUGGUCGGGGUGGUGGUGGCUGUGGUAAGGAGCCCUCAUAUACACACACAGACACCCACAGCUUUGCUAAGGCAGGGGCUGGGUGGGCCUGGUCCAGUCUGCAGAGUCCCCACUGUCCUGUUAAGGGAGUGAAGGGUGUGGAGGUGGGCCUCUCUCUGCCUGUGGGCCUUCCUGGGCUCAGCAGCCCCCACAGUGCUGUGUCUCUGUUGCAGGUAAUGUAUGUACAGAAGAAAAAGCGGUGAGUGUCCCUGUCCCCCACCCGCCCUAACCCCACACCCGUUCUGAAAUUCCUGCUCAUAGGCUCUGACUUUUCUGUAAGAUGUCCCUCAGCCAUCCUGAUACAAGCCUGUAAUUUGUUUUCCCUGCCCCAGCCUCAGGUUACUCACUGGGGAAAGCCCCUUUGUAGAACCAGGGUUGUAUUCUUGGAGGUAUAGUGUGUCCCAAAAGGCACCCACUGGAAUUGCCCCUGCCUGGGAAAGGGAGGAGAGACGGGGCAGCCAGGUGUUUGAUGAGGGUUGGGGGGACCUCCUAGCUGAGUCCCCUCCCCUGCUCCCCAGGGUGGACCGGCUGCGCCAUCACCUGCUCCCCAUGUACAGCUAUGACCCAGCUGAGGAACUGCAUGAGGCUGAGCAGGAGCUGCUCUCUGACAUGGGAGACCCCAAGGUGAGCACUUGGGG